ACGCUCGACACCUACGGGAGGUAGCAGUGGGGAAUAUUGCACAAUGGGGGAAACCCUGAUGCAGCGACGCCGCGUGGAGGAAGAAGGUCUUCGGAUUGUAAACUCCUGUUGUUGGGGAAAAAGAGGAUGGUACCCAACAAGGAAGUGAUGGCUAACUACGUACCAGCAGCCGCCGGUAAGUCUGAGCGGGCGUGGCAAGGC
RNAcentral lists this ribosomal RNA (201 nucleotides) under uncultured bacterium. RNAcentral's name for it is "partial 16S ribosomal RNA". It matches the Rfam family "Bacterial small subunit ribosomal RNA", at positions 328 to 544 of the family's 1533-position model. The record is from RNAcentral.